UUAUUGGCGGUGUGGGUGUGGCCAGGACAGGGUGUGGUCAUCGUGGGCGUGUCCUGAGUGCCCCACCCCUUCCCUCUGUCCCCUCAGCUGCGCCUUCGUCACCUACGAGAAGAUGGAGUCGGCCGACCAGGCCAUGGCCGAGCUGAACGGGGCCGUGGUCCAGGACGUGCAGCUCAAGGUCAGCAUCGCCCGCAAGCAGCCCAUGCUGGACGCCGCCACCGGGAAGUCGCUCUGGGGGUCCCUGGCCGUGAAGAACAGCGCCAAGGGCUCGCACCGGGACAAGCGCUCGCAGGUGGUGUACAACGAGGACCUGUUCGGGGGACAAUAAAGGACGGCACGGACA
This is a long non-coding RNA of Corvus hawaiiensis (hawaiian crow), 343 nucleotides long. RefSeq lists it as uncharacterized. The transcript has 3 exons. The record is from RefSeq and is a predicted model, not a curated record. Lineage: Eukaryota; Metazoa; Chordata; Aves; Passeriformes; Corvidae.